AGCGGACAGAAGGGAGCUUGCUCCCGGAUGUUAGCGGCGGACGGGUGAGUAACACGUGGGUAACCUGCCUGUAAGACUGGGAUAACUCCGGGAAACCGGAGCUAAUACCGGAUAGUUCCUUGAACCGCAUGGUUCAAGGAUGAAAGACGGUUUCGGCUGUCACUUACAGAUGGACCCGCGGCGCAUUAGCUAGUUGGUGAGGUAACGGCUCACCAAGGCGACGAUGCGUAGCCGACCUGAGAGGGUGAUCGGCCACACUGGGACUGAGACACGGCCCAGACUCCUACGGGAGGCAGCAGUAGGGAAUCUUCCGCAAUGGACGAAAGUCUGACGGAGCAACGCCGCGUGAGUGAUGAAGGUUUUCGGAUCGUAAAGCUCUGUUGUUAGGGAAGAACAAGUGCAAGAGUAACUGCUUGCACCUUGACGGUACCUAACCAGAAAGCCACGGCUAACUACGUG
This 459-nucleotide ribosomal RNA is filed under the name Bacillus pumilus. RNAcentral describes it as "bacterial SSU rRNA". It matches the Rfam family "Bacterial small subunit ribosomal RNA", at positions 65 to 507 of the family's 1533-position model. The record is from RNAcentral. Lineage: Bacteria; Bacillati; Bacillota; Bacilli; Caryophanales; Bacillaceae.